AGAGUUUGAUCAUGGCUCAGGAUGAACGCUAGCUACAGGCUUAACACAUGCAAGUCGAGGGGCAGCAUGGUCUUAGCUUGCUAAGGCCGAUGGCGACCGGCGCACGGGUGAGUAACACGUAUCCAACCUGCCGUCUACUCUUGGACAGCCUUCUGAAAGGAAGAUUAAUACAAGAUGGCAUCAUGAGUCCGCAUGUUCACAUGAUUAAAGGUAUUCCGGUAGACGAUGGGGAUGCGUUCCAUUAGAUAGUAGGGCGGGGUAACGGCCCACCUAGUCUUCGAUGGAGUAGGGGUUCUGAGAGGAACGGUCCCCCACAUUGGAACUGAGACACGGUCCAAACUCCUACGGGAGGCAGAA
This 357-nucleotide ribosomal RNA is filed under the name uncultured bacterium. RNAcentral describes it as "bacterial SSU rRNA". It matches the Rfam family "Bacterial small subunit ribosomal RNA", at positions 8 to 353 of the family's 1533-position model. The record is from RNAcentral.